GGUCAUGAGUACCAGCAUCAAGCCCCGGCUAGCUGGUCGGCAACCCUCCAUCCGCGGUGGGGUGCCCCGGGUGAUGACCGGGUUGUCCGAGAAACAGUUCGGAUGACAAGCGCGGGUC
Molecule: non-coding RNA, 118 nt
Filed under: Rhodococcus sp. (in: high G+C Gram-positive bacteria)
Lineage: Bacteria; Bacillati; Actinomycetota; Actinomycetes; Mycobacteriales; Nocardiaceae
Description: Rhodococcus sp. SAM-IV sequence
Rfam family: SAM (S-adenosyl methionine) riboswitch aptamer
About the family: SAM-IV is a mRNA element that regulates gene expression via direct sensing of S-adenosylmethionine (SAM or AdoMet). SAM-IV riboswitches share conserved nucleotide positions with the previously described SAM-I riboswitches sequence analysis and molecular recognition experiments suggest that SAM-I and SAM-IV riboswitches share similar ligand binding sites, but have different scaffolds.
Source: RNAcentral